Molecule: non-coding RNA, 23 nt
Filed under: Cricetulus griseus (Chinese hamster)
Lineage: Eukaryota; Metazoa; Chordata; Mammalia; Rodentia; Cricetidae
Source: RNAcentral
UGGGCUGAAGUAGAGACUCAAAG